RNAcentral lists this ribosomal RNA (466 nucleotides) under uncultured bacterium. Its description in RNAcentral is "partial 16S ribosomal RNA". It matches the Rfam family "Bacterial small subunit ribosomal RNA", at positions 28 to 507 of the family's 1533-position model. The record is from RNAcentral.
GACGAACGCUGGCGGCGUGCUUAACACAUGCAAGUCGAACGGAAAGGCCCUGCUUGCAGGGUACUCGAGUGGCGAACGGGUGAGUAACACGUGGGUGAUCUGCCCUGCACUUCGGGAUAAGCUUGGGAAACUGGGUCUAAUACCGGAUAGGAGCCAUCUUUAGUGUGGUGGUUGGAAAGUUUUUUCGGUGUAGGAUGAGCUCGCGGCCUAUCAGCUUGUUGGUGGGGUAAUGGCCUACCAAGGCGGCGACGGGUAGCCGGCCUGAGAGGGUGUACGGCCACAUUGGGACUGAGAGACGGCCCAGACUCCUACGGGAGGCAGCAGUGGGGAAUAUUGCACAAUGGGCGCGAGCCUGAUGCAGCGACGCCGCGUGGGGGAUGAAGGCCUUCGGGUUGUAAACUCCUUUCGCUAGGGACGAAGCGUUUUUGUGACGGUACCUAGAUAAGAAGCACCGGCUAACUACGUG